AUUGAACGCUGGCGGAAUGCUUUACACAUGCAAGUCGAACGGCAGCACGGGAGCUUGCUCCUGGUGGCGAGUGGCGAACGGGUGAGUAAUAUAUCGGAACGUAUCCAAUAAUGGGGGAUAACUAACCGAAAGGUUAGCUAAUACCGCAUACGCCCUGAGGGGGAAAGCGGGGGGACCGUAAGGCCUCGCGUAAUUGGAGC
Molecule: ribosomal RNA, 200 nt
Filed under: uncultured bacterium
Lineage: Bacteria
Description: partial 16S ribosomal RNA
Rfam family: Bacterial small subunit ribosomal RNA
Source: RNAcentral